AGGAUGAACGCUGGCGGCGUGCCUCAAACAUGCAAGUCGAGCGAGGCUAUGAAUUACCGCAAGGUAAGGCAUAGCCUAGCGGCGAACGGGUGAGUAACACGUGGGUAACCUACCUGGAAGACAGGGAUAACGAUUCGAAAGGGUCGCUAAUACCUGAUAAUAUCCAUCUGCCGGAUGGCGGAGGGAAGAAAGGGGAAACCCGCUUUCAGAUGGGCCCGCGUCCCAUCAGCUAGUUGGUAAGGUAAAGGCUUACCAAGGCGACGACGGGUAGCCGGUCUGAGAGGAUGUACGGCCACACUGGGACUGAGAUACGGCCCAGACUCCUACGGGAGGCAGCAGUUGGGAAUCUUAGGCAAUGGACGAAAGUCUGACCUAGCGACGCCGCGUGAGGGAAGAAGGCCUUCGGGUUGUAAACCUCUGUCAUGGGGAAGAAGGAAGUGACGGUACCCCAAGAGGAAGCCCCUGCUAACUACGUG
RNAcentral lists this ribosomal RNA (476 nucleotides) under uncultured bacterium. RNAcentral describes it as "bacterial SSU rRNA". It matches the Rfam family "Bacterial small subunit ribosomal RNA", at positions 26 to 507 of the family's 1533-position model. The record is from RNAcentral.